UACGGCAGGGGCUAGCGUUGUUCGGAAUUACUGGGGGUAACGAGCGCGUAGGCGGCUUACCAAGUUGGGGGUGAAAUGCCUGAGCUCAACUUGGGAAUUGCCUUUGGGACUGUGAGGCUUUGAGGACGGGGGAGGUGAGUGGAAUUCCCAGUGUAGAGGUGAAAUUCGUAGAUAUUGGGAAGAACACCGGUGGCGCAGGCGGCUCACUGGCCCGUUUCUGACGCUGCAGCGCGAAAGCGUGGCGCUCAAACAGG
Molecule: ribosomal RNA, 254 nt
Filed under: uncultured bacterium
Lineage: Bacteria
Description: partial 16S ribosomal RNA
Rfam family: Bacterial small subunit ribosomal RNA
Source: RNAcentral